Molecule: non-coding RNA, 730 nt
Organism: Pelobates cultripes (western spadefoot toad)
Lineage: Eukaryota; Metazoa; Chordata; Amphibia; Anura; Pelobatidae
Source: the annotation of a GenBank genome assembly
AAAUAGUCAACAGGGUCGCAAGAAGCGUGUGGAAAAACCAAGGCGCAAAAUAACUGCCCAUGAACUGAGAAAAGUCAAGCGUGCAGCUGCCACGAUGCCACUUGCCACCAGUUUGGCCAUAUUUCAGAGCUGCAACAUCACUGGAGUGCCCAAAAUCACAAGGUGUGCAAUACUCAGAGACAUGGCCAAGGUAAGAAAGGCUGAAAGACGACCACCACUGAACAAGACACACAAGCUGAAACGUCAGGACUGGGCCAAGAAAUAUCUCAAGACUGAUUUUUCUAAGGUUUUAUGGACUGAUGAAAUGAGAGUGAGUCUUGAUGGGCCAGAUGGAUGGGCCCGUGGCUGGAUUGGUAAAGGGCAGAGAGCUCCAGUCCGACUGAGACGCCAGCAAGGUGGAGGUGGAGUACUGGUUUGGGCUGGUAUCAUCAAAGAUGAGCUUGUGGGGCCUUUUCGGGUUGAGGAUGGAGCCAAGCUCAACUCCCAGUCCUACUGCCAGUUCCUGGAAGACACCUUCUUCAAGCAGUGGUACAGGAAGAAGUCUGCAUCCUUCAAGAAAAACAUGAUUUUCAUGCAGGACAAUGCUCCAUCACACGCGUCCAAGUACUCCACAGCGUGGCUGGCAAGAAAGGGUAUAAAAGAAGAAAAUCUAAUGACAUGGCCUCCUUGUUCACCUGAUCUGAACCCCAUUGAGAACCUGUGGUCCAUCAUCAAAUGUGAGAUUUACAAG